RNAcentral lists this ribosomal RNA (1185 nucleotides) under bacterium SV70AB1-3. RNAcentral describes it as "bacterial SSU rRNA". It matches the Rfam family "Bacterial small subunit ribosomal RNA", at positions 74 to 1258 of the family's 1533-position model. The record is from RNAcentral.
CAGAGCUUGCUCUGGUUCCAUGAGAGUGGCGCACGGGUGCGUAACGCGUGAGCAACCUACCUCUAUCAGGGGGAUAGCCUCUCGAAAGAGAGAUUAACACCGCAUAAUAUAAUGUACCGGCAUCGGGAUAUUAUUAAAUAUUUAUAGGAUAGAGAUGGGCUCGCGUGACAUUAGCUAGUUGGUAGGGUAACGGCUUACCAAGGCGACGAUGUCUAGGGGCUCUGAGAGGAGAAUCCCCCACACUGGUACUGAGACACGGACCAGACUCCUACGGGAGGCAGCAGUAAGGAAUAUUGGUCAAUGGGCGGAAGCCUGAACCAGCCAUGCCGCGUGCAGGAUGACUGCCCUAUGGGUUGUAAACUGCUUUUGUCCAGGAAUAAACCUAGAUACGUGUAUCUAGCUGAAUGUACUGGAAGAAUAAGGAUCGGCUAACUCCGUGCCAGCAGCCGCGGUAAUACGGAGGAUCCGAGCGUUAUCCGGAUUUAUUGGGUUUAAAGGGUGCGUAGGCGGCCUAUUAAGUCAGGGGUGAAAUACGGUGGCUCAACCAUCGCAGUGCCUUUGAUACUGAUGGGCUUGAAUCCAUUUGAAGUGGGCGGAAUAAGACAAGUAGCGGUGAAAUGCAUAGAUAUGUCUUAGAACUCCGAUUGCGAAGGCAGCUCACUAAGCUGGUAUUGACGCUGAUGCACGAAAGCGUGGGGAUCGAACAGGAUUAGAUACCCUGGUAGUCCACGCCCUAAACGAUGAUAACUCGAUGUUGGCGAUAGACAGCCAGCGUCUUAGCGAAAGCGUUAAGUUAUCCACCUGGGGAGUACGCCCGCAAGGGUGAAACUCAAAGGAAUUGACGGGGGCCCGCACAAGCGGAGGAGCAUGUGGUUUAAUUCGAUGAUACGCGAGGAACCUUACCCGGGCUUGAAAGUUAGUGAAGAGACCAGAGACGGUCUCGUCCUUCGGGACACGAAACUAGGUGCUGCAUGGCUGUCGUCAGCUCGUGCCGUGAGGUGUUGGGUUAAGUCCCGCAACGAGCGCAACCCCUAUGUUUAGUUGCCAGCAUGUAAUGGUGGGGACUCUAAACAGACUGCCUGUGCAAACAGUGAGGAAGGUGGGGACGACGUCAAGUCAUCAUGGCCCUUACGUCCGGGGCUACACACGUGCUACAAUGGAUGGUACAGCGGGCAGCUACAUAGC